UUAUAUACAACAGGGAGCUUGUAAACAGGCUGAGAGGAAAUUGCGAAUUUCGACCUAGAACCUGACUUGGAUAAUGCCAACGUAGGGAAAUAACACUGUAUUUUC
This 105-nucleotide non-coding RNA is filed under the name Clostridium sp. RNAcentral's name for it is "TPP sequence". It matches the Rfam family "TPP riboswitch aptamer (THI element)". Rfam says of the family: Vitamin B(1) in its active form thiamin pyrophosphate (TPP) is an essential coenzyme that is synthesised by coupling of pyrimidine and thiazole moieties in bacteria. The previously detected thiamin-regulatory element, thi box was extended, resulting in a new, highly conserved RNA secondary structure, the THI element, which is widely distributed in eubacteria and also occurs in some archaea. The record is from RNAcentral. Lineage: Bacteria; Bacillati; Bacillota; Clostridia; Eubacteriales; Clostridiaceae. RNAcentral also lists the same sequence under 1 other name.